UACGUAGGGGGCUAGCGUUGUCCGGAAUCAUUGGGCGUAAAGAGCGUGUAGGCGGUCCGGUAAGUCCGCUGUGAAAGUCGGGGGCUCAACCCUCGGAUGCCGGUGGAUACUGUCGGGCUAGAGUGCGGGAGAGGCGAGUGGAAUUCCUGGUGUAGCGGUGAAAUGCGUAGAUAUCUGGAGGAACACCGGUGGCGAAGGCGGCAUCCUGGACCGGUAUUGACGCUGAGGCGCGAAAGCCAGGGGAGCAAACGGG
RNAcentral lists this ribosomal RNA (253 nucleotides) under uncultured bacterium. RNAcentral describes it as "partial 16S ribosomal RNA". It matches the Rfam family "Bacterial small subunit ribosomal RNA", at positions 524 to 776 of the family's 1533-position model. The record is from RNAcentral.